Molecule: long non-coding RNA, 1175 nt
Filed under: Homo sapiens (human)
Lineage: Eukaryota; Metazoa; Chordata; Mammalia; Primates; Hominidae
Description: HSALNT0101168
Source: RNAcentral
AGAGAAAGAGGCAGAGAGGGAGACCGAAGGAGAGAGCGCAGAGAGGGAGAAUGUGUCUGCGCACAGCCAAAAUUGGUCAGAAAGGGGAGUAAAGUGGGACACGAGCUUCAAAGUAGGGAAACCAAAGAAGGGAGCAUCCACGUCCUCUCUCUGCAGCUUCUCCCCCGCGUUCUUCGGGCGAAUCCGAGGGACGGGCGCUGCGCUGGGGAAAGUUUGUCCCACCCGCGUUUCGCAGCUGGUUGCAAGGAGAGGAGGAGGAGAGGGAGGGUCAAGCUCGGAGCCUGUGACCGCACGGAUGAUCGAGCCGGCGUCGCGCUUACCUCGCAGUCCUCGUACUUGAUAUUAUCCGUCAAUUUCCAAAGCAUUUUCAUGGAUCGGCGUGAACGGAUAUGCCCCUCUCGGUCUCGCACCCAAGUGGAGCUACUCUCUGGCUCUUUACCAACAGCCUAAUCGCCUCAUUAGCAUAUCAACAAUAGUCCAAUUGCUCGCCAGUACCACAAUCUGCCGCCGGCCGCUCCGACACAGGCUAAGGUUUCCUGGGUGCAACGUGGACACGAAUACAGAACUCCUAUGGAACUGCACACCCGCUUCUGAAGUUGAGCCUAAAAACAGACGUGUGUGUGCCUGCAAGUCUAGAUACCGUCUCGUGCGUGCAUCAAAAUAAAUCACCGGGAACCGACUUUUAGCUGUGUUAAUCUGCUCUAGUUUUCCCAAGAUUCCCCUUUUUAAUUAAAGCAGGGAGAGUUCCUUCAUGAUUUGGUGAUGCUACUAACGCGGGCGUGCUCGCGAGGCAGAGCCCGGCUGCCGCGGAACCUGGAGGCCUGGGAGCCACCUACUCGUCCAGACUGGUCAGUCCGGGCUUUUGGACUCCUCACCGGGGCCUGCUGGGUCCUCUGGGGCUUUUAUCCCUUUCGGUUUUGGGAUUUUUUUUUAAGUAAGAAAAAAAAAAAAGAAAAGGACCUAAUGUGACACUAGGAAAUACAGAGUAAUUAAUUUUCCUGGCUGAGCUUCCUCGUUUGUCCUCCAAAAGAAAGUUACCUCUGUCUUUUCUCUCUGCUAUAUGUACAAACUCCUUAACUACACUAGGUCCCGCCUCAGAGUUGCUCUAGUAAGGACCUUUGAUUCAUCUGGGCUUGUUUCUCGAAAAUCUCCAGGCCUCCCAUAUUUCCACCGGG